AUUGAACGCUGGCGGAAUGCUUUACACAUGCAAGUCGAACGGCAGCACGGGGGCAACCCUGGUGGCGAGUGGCGAACGGGUGAGUAAUACAUCGGAACGUGCCCGGUCGUGGGGGAUAACGUAGCGAAAGUUACGCUAAUACCGCAUACGAUCUGAGGAUGAAAGCGGGGGACCUUCGGGCCUCGCGCGAUCGGAGCGGCCGAUGUCAGAUUAGGUAGUUGGUGGGGUAAAGGCCUACCAAGCCGACGAUCUGUAGCUGGUCUGAGAGGACGACCAGCCACACUGGGACUGAGACACGGCCCAGACUCCUACGGGAGGCAGCAGUGGGGAAUUUUGGACAAUGGGCGCAAGCCUGAUCCAGCCAUUCCGCGUGCAGGACGAAGGCCUUCGGGUUGUAAACUGCUUUUGUAUGGAACGAAAAGGCUCUGGCUAAUACCUGGGGCUCAUGACGGUACCGUAAGAAUAAGCACCGGCUAACCACGUG
RNAcentral lists this ribosomal RNA (484 nucleotides) under uncultured bacterium. Its description in RNAcentral is "partial 16S ribosomal RNA". It matches the Rfam family "Bacterial small subunit ribosomal RNA", at positions 30 to 507 of the family's 1533-position model. The record is from RNAcentral.